GGAGGAAGGCCCUCCGCAAUCGCCAUACAGGUGGAGAUUGCAAAACACUCAUAGAUGCUGCGAGGAAAAGUCGUGGUAUUGAGCGUAUGAGAAAAGGU
This 98-nucleotide non-coding RNA is filed under the name Lachnospiraceae bacterium XPB1003. Lineage: Bacteria; Bacillati; Bacillota; Clostridia; Lachnospirales; Lachnospiraceae. The record is from RNAcentral.